RNAcentral lists this ribosomal RNA (158 nucleotides) under Phialoseptomonium eucalypti. RNAcentral describes it as "5.8S ribosomal RNA". It matches the Rfam family "5.8S ribosomal RNA". From Rfam's summary of the family: 5.8S ribosomal RNA (5.8S rRNA) is a component of the large subunit of the eukaryotic ribosome. It is transcribed by RNA polymerase I as part of the 45S precursor that also contains 18S and 28S rRNA. Functionally, it is thought that 5.8S rRNA may be involved in ribosome translocation. Lineage: Eukaryota; Fungi; Ascomycota; Sordariomycetes; Hypocreales; Nectriaceae. The record is from RNAcentral.
AAACUUUCAACAACGGAUCUCUUGGCUCUGGCAUCGAUGAAGAACGCAGCGAAAUGCGAUACGUAAUGUGAAUUGCAGAAUUCAGUGAAUCAUCGAAUCUUUGAACGCACAUUGCGCCCGCUAGUAUUCUGGCGGGCAUGCCUGUUCGAGCGUCAUUU